AGCCUUCCUAACUAAGACCCCCAUAGAAGUGACAAAAUCUCAAGAGCACAAUACAAACCUUUGCCCUGUCCAGAGAAGGUUAGGGGCCCUUAAACUAAAUCGCCUGAUUUUUUUUCCUUUCAGUUUAACACAUCCAAACCCAGCCCUGUUGGUUAACAUGAGCUUAACCGUGUGCACUCUUCUGAUGUUGCACUACAGGAUUCCUAUGCCCUAAAGUUCCGAUUUUCCAGAUGAUUACCUCUCGCCAACUUUUGGAGCCGCCCGAGUGUGAAGGGCCCCCGAGCAGUUCAAAAUAUCUGAGAGGGAGCGUGAAAGUUUGCAAAGGGAAAUGUGUAGGAACUCCGUACGCUGUCUGCCAUCGAGCCAACUUACCCAAUAAAUACCCGUUGAAUGUGUUUCCAUUUAAAGAGAUCAACUCCCUCUGUCUCACCCCACUUUCUAAGCCUCAAACUUUAUCGGGUAGCGCUUUACCUUUACAGUGGCCUUAUUUCAGCAUAUUAAUCUCUGUAUUAACCGAUACAUAUUUAUAAAAUGGGAUUACUUACUGGAGAUCUUCCUAACAUUCACAAUACACAUAGGUUUUUUCCUCAAACACUGGCAGAAUUAACAUGCAUUUAAAAUGCUUUAAUACACAGGUUAAGCAUCGGAAUAAGGUCCUUGUAAAAUCAGGCGUUGCCCUCCUUUUUUCCUCUCUCUCUCUUUGUAUAGUGGCAUUAUAUAUACUGAGGAAGUGAUUUGUUAAUAUGUAUAAUUUAGCAGUUGCUCUUUUUUUGUAAAUAAUGAGAAAGUAUUGUGAAUGAAAUUUGUUGAAUGGUUUAAAAAAAAAUCAUUUAGGGCAAACCUCUCCAGGCUUUUAUAAAUGUGACUGCAGUAUAUAGCAUAUUUUGUAUGUAAGACAGCAGUGUGAAGAUAAAUAAGCAUUACUAGAAGCUGAAGAAACUACAUGUAAAUGUUGAGGAUAAUAGCAUACUGGACUUGUAAUUACUGAUGUACAUAAAAAAA
Long non-coding RNA from Etheostoma spectabile (orangethroat darter), 1002 nucleotides. RefSeq lists it as uncharacterized. The transcript has 2 exons. The record is from RefSeq and is a predicted model, not a curated record. NCBI's taxonomy places the organism in Eukaryota, Metazoa, Chordata, Actinopteri, Perciformes, Percidae.